This 281-nucleotide unclassified non-coding RNA is filed under the name Hevea brasiliensis (rubber tree). Lineage: Eukaryota; Viridiplantae; Streptophyta; Magnoliopsida; Malpighiales; Euphorbiaceae. The record is from RNAcentral.
AUCCUCUAACGUAAUAGUAGCUUCGGCUCAGGGAAAAUAAACGUGUUGUUGUUAGAACUCAGAAUUGCUUCACAGAUACCCACCUUUUCUCAUGCGGAAUGGUGUGUUGAAUGCAUGUGAACCCAUUUGUUUCAUUAGUUGUGAUGGUUUCUCCGCGCUCCGAAAGUAACCUUCAAUGGACACUUUCUAGGCUCACAGGUUGAUGCUCGUGGUAAAGACGAAGAAAGUCAAUGGAAGCUAUGAUAGGUUUAAGGAAGUGGGCUGUUCUCAGAAUUGGCUUA